Molecule: long non-coding RNA, 92 nt
Organism: Vollenhovia emeryi
Lineage: Eukaryota; Metazoa; Arthropoda; Insecta; Hymenoptera; Formicidae
Exons: 2
Source: RefSeq, a predicted model, not a curated record
CGCAAAUGUGCGCAAAUGUGAAAUGUGCAUCAUGGAACUGGAAGAUGUAGCUGUUGUACACAGUUGUGGAAUAUGUCAAGAAAUUGUUAAUG